Molecule: ribosomal RNA, 466 nt
Filed under: Vreelandella stevensii
Lineage: Bacteria; Pseudomonadati; Pseudomonadota; Gammaproteobacteria; Oceanospirillales; Halomonadaceae
Description: partial 16S ribosomal RNA
Rfam family: Bacterial small subunit ribosomal RNA
Source: RNAcentral
CCUACGGGAGGCUGCAGUGGGGAAUAUUGGACAAUGGGGGGGAACCCUGAUCCAGCCAUGCCGCGUGUGUGAAGAAGGCCCUCGGGUUGUAAAGCACUUUCAGUGAGGAAGAACGCCUGGUGGUUAAUACCCAUCAGGAAAGACAUCACUCACAGAAGAAGCACCGGCUAACUCCGUGCCAGCAGCCGCGGUAAUACGGAGGGUGCGAGCGUUAAUCGGAAUUACUGGGCGUAAAGCGCGCGUAGGUGGCUUGAUAAGCCGGUUGUGAAAGCCCCGGGCUCAACCUGGGAACGGCAUCCGGAACUGUCAAGCUAGAGUGCAGGAGAGGAAGGUAGAAUUCCCGGUGUAGCGGUGAAAUGCGUAGAGAUCGGGAGGAAUACCAGUGGCGAAGGCGGCCUUCUGGACUGACACUGACACUGAGGUGCGAAAGCGUGGGUAGCAAACAGGAUUAGAUACCCCAGUUGUC